GAUCAUUAGUGAAUAAACUUGUGUAGGUUGUUGCUGACCUCCUCGGAGGUAUGUGCACACCUGCCAUUAUCCACCUCCCACCUGUGCACUUCUUGUAGGCCAAACCCAUCAYUCUUUCAGGUCUKUGCCUGGCGUGAGGAACUGCUUUGCUUUCCUUGGAUGGGGUGUGGUCUAUGUCUUUAUCAACACUGUAUGUAAUUGAAUGUCUGUCCUGGGCCUAUUUGACCCAUAAAACCUUAUACAACUUUCAACAACGGAUCUCUUGGCUCUCGCAUCGAUGAAGAACGCAGCGAAAUGCGAUAAGUAAUGUGAAUUGCAGAAUUCAGUGAAUCAUCGAAUCUUUGAACGCACCUUGCGCUCCUUGGCAUUCCGAGGAGCAUGCCUGUUUGAGUGUCAUUAAAUUCUCAACCUCAUCUCCCUUGUGGGAUGAAGGUUGGACUUGGGAGCUGCUGGCCCAUUACUGGGUCAGCUCUUCUGAAAUUCAUUAGCAGGGCCAUUGUAUGCAAAACUGCAGCUUGGUAAUGAUGGGAAUCUUACCAGGUCACGGAUAAGCAUGUGCCUCGCUCACAGCCGUCUCUCUGAGACAAUUCAUUUGACAAUUUGACCUCAAAUCAGGUAGGACUACCCGCUGAACUUAAGCAUAUCAAUAAGCGGAGGAAAAGAAACUAACAAGGAUUCCCCUAGUAACUGCGAGUGAAGCGGGAAGAGCUCAAAUUUAAAAUCUGGCGGUCUCUGGCCGUCCGAGUUGUAA
RNAcentral lists this small RNA (751 nucleotides) under Pluteus chrysophaeus. RNAcentral describes it as "eukaryotic LSU rRNA". The stretch from base 243 to 396 matches the Rfam family "5.8S ribosomal RNA". Lineage: Eukaryota; Fungi; Basidiomycota; Agaricomycetes; Agaricales; Pluteaceae. The record is from RNAcentral.